This 1426-nucleotide ribosomal RNA is filed under the name metagenome. Its description in RNAcentral is "bacterial SSU rRNA". It matches the Rfam family "Bacterial small subunit ribosomal RNA". The record is from RNAcentral.
AGGGUGAGUAACGCGUGGGUAAGCUAUCUUAAAGUUUUGGGACAACCCGCCGAAAGGCGGGCUAAUACCGAAUGUGGUCGCUGGAUGCAUAUCCGGAUGAUUAAAGGUGGGGCUCCUUUUGGACCUGCCGCUUUUAGAGGUGCCCGCGUGCCAUCAGCUAGUUGGUAGGGUAACGGCCUACCAAGGCUUACGGCUAGCCGGCCUGAGAGGGUGACCGGCCACACUGGGACUGAGACACUGCCCAGACUCCUACGGGAGGCUGCAGUCGAGGAUCAUUCGCAAUGCGCGAAAGCGUGACGAUGCGACGCUGCGUGGAGGAUGAAGGCCUUCGGGUCGUAAACUCCUGUCAUGAGGGAACAGCCAUCUUACCCCGAAUACGGGUAGGAUCCGAUGGUACCUCAAGAGGAAGCCACGGCUAACUCUGUGCCAGCAGCCGCGGUAAUACAGAGGUGGCGAGCGUUGUUCGGAUUUACUGGGCGUAAAGGGUGCGUAGGUGGUUUCGUAUGUCGGAUGUGAAAGCCCAUGGCUCAACCGUGGAAUUGCAUUCGAAACUGCUGAACUAGAGUGCAGGAUGGGAGAGCGGAAUUCUUGGUGUAGCGGUGAAAUGCGUUGAUAUCAAGAAGAACACCGGUGGCGAAGGCGGCUCUCUGGAAUGUCACUGACACUGAGGCACGAAAGCUGGGGGAGCAAACAGGAUUAGAUACCCUGGUAGUCCCAGCCGUAAACGGUGCACACUUGGUGUGGGGAGAUUUAACCCUCUCCGUGCCGGAGCUAACGCGUUAAGUGUGCCGCCUGGGGAGUACGGCCGCAAGGCUAAAACUCAAAGAAAUUGACGGGGGCCCGCACAAGCGGAGGAGCAUGUGGCUUAAUUCGAUGCAACGCGAAGAACCUUACCAGGGCUUGACAUAUACCUGCACGCCCCUCGAAAGGGGGGAAGCCUUUGAGGGUGGUAUACAGGUGCUGCAUGGCUGUCGUCAGUUCGUGCUGUGAGGUGUUGGGUUAAGUCCCGUAACGAACGCAACCCUUGUGGUUAGUUGCCACCGGCGGUGAUGAGCCGCCGAGCACUCUAGCCAGACUGCCCGUACAAGCGGGAGGAAGGUGGGGAUGACGUCAAGUCAGUAUGGCCCUUACGCCCUGGGCUGCACACGUGCUACAAUGGACGGAACAAUGGGAUGCAAUACCGCGAGGUGGAGCGAAUCCUGAAAGCCGUCCUCAGUUCGGAUUGAAGUCUGCAACUCGACUUCAUGAAGUUGGAUUCGCUAGUAACGGCGCAUCAGCUACGGCGCCGUGAAUACGUUCCCGGGCCUUGUACACACCGCCCGUCACAUCAUGAAAGCCGUCUGCACCCGAAGUCGCUGAUCUAACCCGCAAGGGAGGAAGGCGCCGAAGGUGUGGGUGGUGAUUGGGAUGAAGUCGGAACAAGGUA